This 2770-nucleotide unclassified non-coding RNA is filed under the name Hevea brasiliensis (rubber tree). Lineage: Eukaryota; Viridiplantae; Streptophyta; Magnoliopsida; Malpighiales; Euphorbiaceae. The record is from RNAcentral.
AGACGAUGGAAAGUCAUUUACCAUUCUAAAAUGGAGUUGUGAUAAUAACAAAGAGCACUCAAAAAGAGUACUCGUUGCAACCAGACUACUCAAACCUUCCCGAAUACUACAGAUCUUUUACUCAUGGAUAGAACAAUAAUACAAAUGCCGUUUUAUUUACAAAACUAUGAAGACUUGCUGACCAAAAUGUUAGCAUUUAGUAAUGAUACAAAGAAAACACCUCCCACUAUACACAUUAUAAAUCAAGGGACAAAGGGACCAGAAAAAAAUUAAUAAUUUGCAGGAACCACUAGAAAUAUCAUUACAUCCAUUCACACGCUCAGCCCUUUCAGGUCCCUGCAAAUUUCCGCGCUGGUCAAGGGUUGGUUCAAGAAAAUCAAUCUGAUGAGGCUCCAUUUUGUAGAAUAAUCUUCGAGCUGAAGACAUAUCUACGAUCUUUUGUUCCUCCGAUGAAACAGCCACAGAUUCUUUUAAGUCUCCAUUAAUUACCGGAUUGUAGUUCUUCCUAGAGAUGAUGCUCCAAUUUCACUGUCAGUGUUCUGCAAUUGUAGUUCAUCCUUACAUGAGUUAGUCUUUAGCAAGCCUAGAAAAAAAAAAUACAAACUAAAAUAUUAUUAAAGAAUUUGAUUUUCUAAGUACAUGUAACAAGAAUCAUGUCCAAUUCUGACAACCGCACCUAUGAUACAGUAAGCUGAUAUUUUGGGGGAUAGCAAAUAAAGUUAUAGGAAACUUCCAAUUCCAUUUAUUGGUAAAAAACAACCAUUGUUUUUCUUUACCAAAGUUAUUGUUGCACCCAUCCUAUGAAAAUAAACUGAAACUAUAAAUUUUGUGUAUUAGAGGAAACAUCCAUAAGAACAGAGAAUUGGGUGAGAAUCGUAACAUAUACUAAGACCAUAUUGGACUAUCAAACAUAGCUGCUGUUGUGGUGGGAUUGAAUUAAUGAUAUUCACAAAGAAUUUACCUGAGAUUUAGGGGAAGGGAACACAUUCCAAAACCGUAGAGUUUCAUCCCCUGCUCCCGUGACAAUGGUCUGAAGCAUAUAAUAUAGCUUAGGAAAGAAUAAGAACUAACAUAAAAUAAAUACUUUGCAUGACUGCUUAUAUAUCUAGAAAAAGAACAACUACAGUUAAUUAAUGGAGGAUGAACUACCUGUCCAUCUGGUGAGAUGGCAAGAUAAAGUACUCUGUAUGUAUGACCAGUAAGAGUUGCCAACUGGAAGAGCAGAAUAAAUCUUAAGAGUUAAAGACACAGCUAACAAGAGAUAAUUUUGUGAGUAUAAUAAAAAACACAACAAAUUUAGCACCUUUGACAUGGUGGGGUAUCUCCAUACUAUUAUUUGGUUUUGAGAGUACCCAUGAGUGCUGACAAGUUCAUUGACAUUCUUAGACCACACAAGAUUGCACACCUGACUGCCAGUGUCCAUGCAGCUGAGAUGUGAAUUACUGGUCGUAUUCCAGAACCUUACACACCGAUCUGCAGUCCCACCACCAGAUGCAAGAAGUCCAUGAAGAUGGGGUGACCAAGCAAUUGCUUUUACAGCCGCAGUAUGCUCACAGUAUUUUAGCACAGGUUGAGUUGAAUGUUGAUUCCAAACAAAAAGUCUGUUAUCAUUCCCACCAGAUGCCAACUCACGAUUAUCAUAAGACCACUUUAAUCCACAGACCUCUGACUUGUGCCCGGAGAGUUUGCUAACGAAGUCUUCCUGAGCACGUAUAUCUCGUUGAAGAAUACUCUUAUCCCGGCUACCAGAAGACAACACAGAUGAACUCCAGGCCAAGGCCCCAACACGUAAUCGAUGGCCCUCCAUGGUUCUUACUCUUUUACAGCGAGAUGCAUCCCAAAUCUGGACUUUCCCAUUACUAGUUCCAACAGCUAGAUGUGUUCCACGCUGAGCCCAUCCCACUGAACACACACUAUCGUCAAUCCCCAAAUCACACAAUUUUGUCACCUUGCUACUACAAGCAUUCCACAAAUACACACAAUUCCCCAAACCCACUGCUAGUACAUUAUGCGACGACCAGUCCACUAAAUUCAAAUAAAAAUCAUCUUGCAAUGCGGGUGCGUCCAAUACCUUAUAAGGUGAUCUUGGGACCUUCCUCGGAGUCUUAACAGGGCUAUGGCUAACGCCAGGUCUCUCGUCAUCAUAACCAAAAGGCGAAAGCGAGUGCAUUGACUGUCUCGUCUCCGUCUUGAACCGGAAAAUAUUGCGUCCCGGCGAGUCCCUUUUAUCCGGCGUGUUGGAUCCAAAAAGAGCAGAGCGGAGGAGUGCUGCGUAGGCACUGGAGCUGUCCUCCUUUCCUCCGUCAGACGCCGGAGGAUUCGUCGACAAUGGAGGCGAAGACGACGAGAUGUUGAAUAGGGCAAAAUUGGAGUUGGAUCUGCUAGGAAUAAACCUAUCGGAAUAAAUCGUUCUUGACGGAGAUAUAUAGUGGUUGGAAUUGAUCAAGCGGCUCACGUGGUCAGAUGGAGUUAGGGUUUCGAGAUUCAGAGACGGGCGUGGCAUGAUGGCAGGAACAUUCAGCUGGGACGAAGGAACUGAUUGGACAGUCAAUGGUGAAAUCGUGGGAUCAUCCAUUGGAGAUUAUGACACUGCACAACACAGAAACCCUAGAGAGAUAAAAAGAAAGGGGUUGAGGUUGAAGAAGAUGGGUGGGAUUGGGCUUAGGCGCUGGCGGGUAUAGCGUACAUAUAUGUGAGAUUGCGUUUGGUGUCAGGCUGUUAAUUUUCCCGGGAAAUAAUUGUCAACCUACGCUAAGCUGCCUGAUUUUUU